UACGUAGGGUGCAAGCGUUGUCCGGAAUUAUUGGGCGUAAAGAGCUUGUAGGCGGUUUGUCGCGUCUGCUGUGAAAUUUCGGGGCUCAACCCCGAACUUGCAGUGGGUACGGGCAGACUAGAGUGUGGUAGGGGAGACUGGAAUUCCUGGUGUAGCGGUGAAAUGCGCAGAUAUCAGGAAGAACACCCGUGGCGAAGGCGGCUCUCUGGGACGGUACUGACGCUGAGACGCGAAAGCGUGGGGAGCGAACAGG
Molecule: ribosomal RNA, 253 nt
Filed under: uncultured bacterium
Lineage: Bacteria
Description: partial 16S ribosomal RNA
Rfam family: Bacterial small subunit ribosomal RNA
Source: RNAcentral